RNAcentral lists this ribosomal RNA (484 nucleotides) under uncultured bacterium. Its description in RNAcentral is "partial 16S ribosomal RNA". It matches the Rfam family "Bacterial small subunit ribosomal RNA", at positions 30 to 507 of the family's 1533-position model. The record is from RNAcentral.
AUUGAACGCUGGCGGCAGGCCUAACACAUGCAAGUCGAGCGGAUGAAGGGAGCUUGCUCCUGGAUUCAGCGGCGGACGGGUGAGUAAUGCCUAGGAAUCUGCCUGGUAGUGGGGGAUAACGUCCGGAAACGGGCGCUAAUACCGCAUACGUCCUGAGGGAGAAAGUGGGGGAUCUUCGGACCUCACGCUAUCAGAUGAGCCUAGGUCGGAUUAGCUAGUUGGUGGGGUAAAGGCCUACCAAGGCGACGAUCCGUAACUGGUCUGAGAGGAUGAUCAGUCACACUGGAGCUGAGACACGGUCAAGACUCCUACGGGAGGCAGCAGUGGGGAAUAUUGGACAAUGGGCGAAAGCCUGAUACAGCCAUGCCGCGUGUGUGAAGAAGGUCUUCGGAUUGUAAAGCACUUUAAGUUGGGAGGAAGGGCAGUAAGUUAAUACCUUGCUGUUUUGACGUUACCAACAGAAUAAGCACCGGCUAACUUCGUG